AGAGAAUACGAGGACCUGAAGGCAGGUGCA
This 30-nucleotide non-coding RNA is filed under the name Homo sapiens (human). Lineage: Eukaryota; Metazoa; Chordata; Mammalia; Primates; Hominidae. The record is from RNAcentral.